Molecule: ribosomal RNA, 1010 nt
Filed under: Acinetobacter modestus
Lineage: Bacteria; Pseudomonadati; Pseudomonadota; Gammaproteobacteria; Moraxellales; Moraxellaceae
Description: bacterial SSU rRNA
Rfam family: Bacterial small subunit ribosomal RNA
Source: RNAcentral
UGCAGUCGAGCGGAGAUGAGGUGCUUGCACCUUAUCUUAGCGGCGGACGGGUGAGUAAUGCUUAGGAAUCUGCCAUUUAGUGGGGGACAACAUUCCGAAAGGAAUGCUAAUACCGCAUACGUCCUACGGGAGAAAGCAGGGGAUCUUCGGACCUUGCGCUAAAUGAUGAGCCUAAGUCGGAUUAGCUAGUUGGUGGGGUAAAGGCCUACCAAGGCGACGAUCUGUAGCGGGUCUGAGAGGAUGAUCCGCCACACUGGGACUGAGACACGGCCCAGACUCCUACGGGAGGCAGCAGUGGGGAAUAUUGGACAAUGGGCGGAAGCCUGAUCCAGCCAUGCCGCGUGUGUGAAGAAGGCCUUUUGGUUGUAAAGCACUUUAAGCGAGGAGGAGGCUACUAGUACUAAUACUACUGGAUAGUGGACGUUACUCGCAGAAUAAGCACCGGCUAACUCUGUGCCAGCAGCCGCGGUAAUACAGAGGGUGCGAGCGUUAAUCGGAUUUACUGGGCGUAAAGCGUGCGUAGGCGGCUUUUUAAGUCGGAUGUGAAAUCCCCGAGCUUAACUUGGGAAUUGCAUUCGAUACUGGGAAGCUAGAGUAUGGGAGAGGAUGGUAGAAUUCCAGGUGUAGCGGUGAAAUGCGUAGAGAUCUGGAGGAAUACCGAUGGCGAAGGCAGCCAUCUGGCCUAAUACUGACGCUGAGGUACGAAAGCAUGGGGAGCAAACAGGAUUAGAUACCCUGGUAGUCCAUGCCGUAAACGAUGUCUACUAGCCGUUGGGGCCUUUGAGGCUUUAGUGGCGCAGCUAACGCGAUAAGUAGACCGCCUGGGGAGUACGGUCGCAAGACUAAAACUCAAAUGAAUUGACGGGGGCCCGCACAAGCGGUGGAGCAUGUGGUUUAAUUCGAUGCAACGCGAAGAACCUUACCUGGCCUUGACAUACUAGAAACUUUCCAGAGAUGGAUUGGUGCCUUCGGGAAUCUAGAUACAGGUGCUGCAUGGCUGUCGUCAGCUC